Molecule: long non-coding RNA, 880 nt
Organism: Marmota monax (woodchuck)
Lineage: Eukaryota; Metazoa; Chordata; Mammalia; Rodentia; Sciuridae
Exons: 2
Source: RefSeq, a predicted model, not a curated record
UCCAGGGAUUUUUCACUGGGACAGCUUUUAUCUGUUCGGCUGUAGGUCAGGCAUGAGUAACUCCAGGACGGCGGAAUGGGGCUGUCGCCUCAGGGUGGGAUUCCAGGACUGAUGCUCAGUAAAAAUAUAACAAAACCAACUCAUGCCAGUGCUGGCGCUGUGACAAACUGUGUUGCUGCCGAGAUACUGUUGUCAACCGGCCACACACGGACAGUAGCCAGUGUUGUGAACACCCAGAGGAGGGGCUGCAAACCCAGAAGGGAGCGAUCAGAAGAAAGUUCUGGAAAAAGUGGCACAUAUGUCACAUGAGGACUUCACCAGCAAAUUUCACAUGAGAGGUCACCCCAGGACAAUGUUCCAGCAAAAGACCAGUGAUGAGAUAGAUAAUAAGGUUUUCAAGGAACUGAAACCAGCUCAGCAAAACGAGUAGAGCAAGUGGGGGUGGAGAGGGCCUGCUGAAGCCAAAAGCGAUAGAGCCCUCGGAAAGGCUUCAGCUAUGGGGCAAAAUGACAAGAUUCUUCUGGUGGUGGCCACAUCAACUCAUAAUGCGAUCCUGAAAUGCCCACAGGUUUCUCCAGGGUUGAAAACAACCCAGUUCCCCGGGGUAGGUAGCAAUGAUGUGCACCACCAGUACCAUUUGAAAAAACACAAACCAGGUGCCGGGCUGAAAUUACACGAAGCACGUCAUUAUCACAGCAGAUGCUUACAGCCCCUAGACUGCUACGAGCAGAACCAAAGUUUGUGUGAAUCAAUAUUUUUUGUACACUGAAUUAAACCUUCAUUCGCGAGCAGAGCUUGCGAUCGUAAAGAUAUUCCAUGGUGAAUCUUUGCAAAGCUGUCACUCAUUCUCUAAAAUAAAGAAUUCCCCAUUGCAUGUCAA